ACGGAGGGUGCAAGCGUUGUUCGGAAUUACUGGGCGUAAAGGGCGCGUAGGUGGUUGUGUAAGUCAGAUGUGAAAUCCUUAGGCUUAACCUGAGAACUGCAUCUGAUACUGCAUGACUCGAGUACAUCAGAGGGGGACGGAAUUCCUGGUGUAGAGGUGAAAUGCGUAGAUAUCAGGAGGAAUACCGAUGGCGUAGGCAGCUCCCUGGGCUGAUACUGACACUCAUGCGCGAAAGCGUGGGGAGCAAACAG
This 251-nucleotide ribosomal RNA is filed under the name uncultured prokaryote. RNAcentral describes it as "partial 16S rRNA". It matches the Rfam family "Bacterial small subunit ribosomal RNA", at positions 525 to 775 of the family's 1533-position model. The record is from RNAcentral.